AGAUUGAACGCUGGCGGCAUGCUUUACACAUGCAAGUCGAACGGCAGCGCGGGGCAACCUGGCGGCGAGUGGCGAACGGGUGAGUAAUAUAUCGGAACGUACCCAAGAGUGGGGGAUAACGUAGCGAAAGUUACGCUAAUACCGCAUACGAUCUAAGGAUGAAAGCAGGGGACCGCAAGGCCUUGUGCUCCUGGAGCGGCCGAUAUCUGAUUAGCUAGUUGGUAGGGUAAAGGCCUACCAAGGCUACGAUCAGUAGCUGGUCUGAGAGGACGACCAGCCACACUGGAACUGAGACACGGUCCAGACUCCUACGGGAGGCAGCAGUGGGGAAUUUUGGACAGUGGGCGCAAGCCUGAUCCAGCAAUGCCGCGUGAGUGAAGAAGGCCUUCGGUUGUAAGCUCUUUUGUCAGGAAGAAACGGUGGAGCUAAGUAUCUCCCACUAAUGACGGUACCUAGAAGAAUAAGACACCGGCUAACUACGUGCCAGCAGCCGA
RNAcentral lists this ribosomal RNA (494 nucleotides) under uncultured soil bacterium. RNAcentral's name for it is "bacterial SSU rRNA". It matches the Rfam family "Bacterial small subunit ribosomal RNA", at positions 26 to 518 of the family's 1533-position model. The record is from RNAcentral.